Molecule: ribosomal RNA, 468 nt
Filed under: uncultured bacterium
Lineage: Bacteria
Description: partial 16S ribosomal RNA
Rfam family: Bacterial small subunit ribosomal RNA
Source: RNAcentral
GACGAACGCUGGCGGCGUGCUUAACACAUGCAAGUCGAACGGAAAGGCCCUGCUUUUGUGGGGUGCUCGAGUGGCGAACGGGUGAGUAACACGUGAGUAACCUGCCCUUGACUUUUGGAUAACUUCAGGAAACUGGGGCUAAUACCGGAUAGGAGCUCCUGCUGCAUGGUGGGGGUUGGAAAGUUUCGGCGGUUGGGGAUGGACUCGCGGCUUAUCAGCUUGUUGGUGGGGUAGUGGCUUACCAAGGCUUUGACGGGUAGCCGGCCUGAGAGGGUGACCGGCAACAUUGGGACUGAGAUACGGCCCAGACUCCUACGGGAGGCAGCAGUGGGGAAUAUUGCAAAAUGGGCGGAAGCCUGAUGCAGCAACGCCGCGUGCGGGAUGACGGCCUUCGGGUUGUAAACCGCUUUCGCCUGUGACGAAGCGUGAGUGACGGUAAUGGGUAAAGAAGCACCGGCUAACUACGUG